UCUGAAUAUGGGGGGACCAUCCUCCAAGGCUAAAUACUCCUGACUGACCGAUAGUGAACCAGUACCGUGAGGGAAAGGCGAAAAGAACCCCGGCGAGGGGAGUGAAAAAGAACCUGAAACCGUGUACU
Molecule: ribosomal RNA, 128 nt
Filed under: Klebsiella pneumoniae
Lineage: Bacteria; Pseudomonadati; Pseudomonadota; Gammaproteobacteria; Enterobacterales; Enterobacteriaceae
Description: partial 23S ribosomal RNA
Rfam family: Bacterial large subunit ribosomal RNA
Source: RNAcentral